GAUGAACGCUGGCGGCGUGCUUAACACAUGCAAGUCGAACGAAGCACCUUGAUUUGAUUCUUCGGAUGAAAAUCCUGGUGACUGAGUGGCGGACGGGUGAGUAACGCGUGGGUAACCUGCCUCAUACAGGGGGAUAACAGUUAGAAAUGACUGCUAAUACCGCAUAAGACCACAGCACCGCAUGGUGCAGGGGUAAAAACUCCGGUGGUAUGAGAUGGACCCGCGUCUGAUUAGGUAGUUGGUGGGGUAACGGCCUACCAAGCCGACGAUCAGUAGCCGACCUGAGAGGGUGACCGGCCACAUUGGGACUGAGACACGGCCCAAACUCCUACGGGAGGCAGCAGUGGGGAAUAUUGCACAAUGGGGGAAACCCUGAUGCAGCGACGCCGCGUGAGCGAUGAAGUAUUUCGGUAUGUAAAGCUCUAUCAGCAGGGAAGAAAAUGACGGUA
RNAcentral lists this ribosomal RNA (449 nucleotides) under uncultured bacterium. RNAcentral's name for it is "bacterial SSU rRNA". It matches the Rfam family "Bacterial small subunit ribosomal RNA", at positions 28 to 477 of the family's 1533-position model. The record is from RNAcentral.